AGACAACUAGUAUAAAGAAAACACUUGAUUUCGGCUCAAAAGUUUAUGGUUUAAGUCCAUAGUUGUCUA
This 69-nucleotide transfer RNA is filed under the name Parazen pacificus (parazen). Its description in RNAcentral is "tRNA-Arg". It matches the Rfam family "tRNA". From Rfam's summary of the family: Transfer RNA (tRNA) molecules are approximately 80 nucleotides in length. Their secondary structure includes four short double-helical elements and three loops (D, anti-codon, and T loops). Further hydrogen bonds mediate the characteristic L-shaped molecular structure. tRNAs have two regions of fundamental functional importance: the anti-codon, which is responsible for specific mRNA codon recognition, and the 3' end, to which the tRNAs corresponding amino acid is attached (by aminoacyl-tRNA synthetases). tRNAs cope with the degeneracy of the genetic code in two manners: having more than one tRNA (with a specific anti-codon) for a particular amino acid; and 'wobble' base-pairing, i.e. permitting non-standard base-pairing at the 3rd anti-codon position. The record is from RNAcentral. Lineage: Eukaryota; Metazoa; Chordata; Actinopteri; Zeiformes; Parazenidae.